GAUGAACGCUGGCGGCGUGCCUAACACAUGCAAGUCGAACGGAAAGGCCCUGCGUUUGUGGGGUGCUCGAGUGCCGAACGGGUGAGUAACACGUGAGUAACCUGCCCUUGACUUUGGGAUAACAUCAGGAAACUGGGGCUAAUAUCGGAUAGGAUCUCCUGCUGCAUGGUGGGGGUUGGAAAGUUUCGGCGGUUGGGGAUGGACUCGCGGCUUAUCAGCUUGUUGGUGGGGUAGUGGCUUACCAAGGCUUUGACGGGUAGCCGGCCUGGGAGGGUGAACGGCCACAAUGGGACUGAGGGACGGACCAGACUCGAACGGGAGGCAGCGGGGGGGAGUAUGACACAGUGAGCGGGAGCGUGAGGCGGCGGCGCCGGGUGCGGGAUGACGGCCUUCGGGUUGUAAACCGCUGUCGCCUGAGACGAAGCGGGAGUGACGGUAAUGGGUAAAGAAGCACCGGCUAACUACGUG
This 468-nucleotide ribosomal RNA is filed under the name uncultured bacterium. Its description in RNAcentral is "partial 16S ribosomal RNA". It matches the Rfam family "Bacterial small subunit ribosomal RNA", at positions 28 to 507 of the family's 1533-position model. The record is from RNAcentral.